This 71-nucleotide transfer RNA is filed under the name Nesophrosyne kanawao. RNAcentral's name for it is "tRNA-Glu". The record is from RNAcentral. Lineage: Eukaryota; Metazoa; Arthropoda; Insecta; Hemiptera; Cicadellidae.
UUUUAUAUAAUUUAAUAAAAAAAAAAUAUUUUACUUUCAUUAAAAAAAUGACUACUCGCAGUCUAUAAAAU